AAGCCUGAUAAGUGCCACGUCGGCAUGGCCGAGGUACAGUAUCUCGGCCAUAGACUAGGAUCAGGCAAACAGCAGGCUGAACCCGCUAAGGUAGAAGCUAUCGCCAACUGGCCACAACCCCAUACCAAGACUAGCGUUCCUAGGAACAGCAGGCUACUACCACAAGUUUGUCCCCGAGUAUAGUGCCCUGGCCAAACCCCUCACCAACCUAACCAAAAAGUAACCUGGACCCCGGAGUGCGCGGUCGCCUUUCAACAACUUAAGACUGCACUAAGCGAGGCACCUGUGUUGGCAGCCCCAAACCAUGCUAAACAAUUUCUUGUACACAGAUAGCUCCAUGUUUGGGCUGGGAGCCGUGUUGAGCCAAGUGGGGUACGACGGGAUGGGACACCUCGUGGCAUAUCUCAGCCGGAAACUAUUGCCCAGAGAAGUCAGUUAUGCCACCAUGGAGAAAGAGUGCCUGAAAAAACAGCAACCAUACCUGUACGGCCGUCCCUUUACACUUAUUACUGACCAUAACCCCAUUAUUUGGCUAAAUCGAGUAUGUGAAACUAAAAUCGGACACUGGACUUUCCGAACACCGAUCAAACUGUACGAACGCCUGCUUCCUUUUCCCAAACAGCCAGGAGAC
Molecule: non-coding RNA, 631 nt
Organism: Pelobates cultripes (western spadefoot toad)
Lineage: Eukaryota; Metazoa; Chordata; Amphibia; Anura; Pelobatidae
Source: the annotation of a GenBank genome assembly